Molecule: ribosomal RNA, 23 nt
Filed under: Actinoplanes utahensis
Lineage: Bacteria; Bacillati; Actinomycetota; Actinomycetes; Micromonosporales; Micromonosporaceae
Also listed under: 1 other name
Source: RNAcentral
GUUUCGAUGGUCAUAGCUGUUUC